Molecule: ribosomal RNA, 394 nt
Filed under: uncultured bacterium
Lineage: Bacteria
Description: partial 16S ribosomal RNA
Rfam family: Bacterial small subunit ribosomal RNA
Source: RNAcentral
AUACGUAGGGGGCGAGCGUUGUCCGGAAUGACUGGGCGUAAAGGGCGUGUAGGCGGCGGUGUAAGACUGGAGUGAAAGUCCCGCAUUCGAUGUGGGAAUUGCUUUGGAUACUGCAGUGCUAGAGUGCGGAAGAGGUAAGUGGACUUCCCAGUGUAGCGGUGAAAUGCGUAGAGAUUGGGAGGAACACCGGUGGCGAAGGCACGUCGCUGGGCGUAAACUGACGCGCAUGGCCGAAAGCGUGGGGAGCAAACAGGAUUAGAUCCCCUGGUAGUCCCCGCCUUAAACGAUGUCGACUGGUUGUGGGGGGUUUGACACUCUCAGUAACGAAGCUAACGCGUGAAGUCGACCGCCUGGGGAGUACGGCCGCAAGGUUAAAACUCAAAUGAAUUGACGG